AAUUUUGGACAAUGGGGGAAACCCUGAUCCAGCCAUCCCGCGUGUAUGAUGAAGGCCUUCGGGUUGUAAAGCACUUUAAGUUGGGAGGAAGGGCAGUAAGUUAAUACCUUGCUGUUUUGACGUUACCGACAGAAUAAGCACCGGCUAACUUCGUGCCAGCAGCCGCGGUAAUACGAAGGGUGCAAGCGUUAAUCGGAAUUACUGGGCGUAAAGCGCGCGUAGGUGGUUUGUUAAGUUGGAAGUGAAAGCCCCGGGCUCAACCUGGGAACUGCUUUCAAAACUGGCAAGCUAGAGUAUGGCAGAGGGUGGUGGAAUUUCCUGUGUAGCGGUGAAAUGCGUAGAUAUAGGGAGGAACACCAGUGGCGAAGGCGACUACCUGGACGAAAACUGACGCUGAUGCACGAAAGCUAGGGGAGCAAACAG
Molecule: ribosomal RNA, 423 nt
Filed under: uncultured bacterium
Lineage: Bacteria
Description: partial 16S ribosomal RNA
Rfam family: Bacterial small subunit ribosomal RNA
Source: RNAcentral